RNAcentral lists this unclassified non-coding RNA (450 nucleotides) under Hevea brasiliensis (rubber tree). The record is from RNAcentral. Lineage: Eukaryota; Viridiplantae; Streptophyta; Magnoliopsida; Malpighiales; Euphorbiaceae.
AGACACACAUUGAUUAUUGGGAGGUACUAUUUCUUUCCGGUUCUUCCCAUGUUUUGAGUGGUGUUAUACCUCUUGUUCAUAUGUAUAAGUUCUUCAGGCCAGUUGUCAUCUUUUUGGAAAUUUUCAAAUUGCUCAUCCUUUAGAAUUGGUUAAUGCUUUGAAAUAGAAAUUUAACGCAGAUGAAAGGAAAUAGACUACACUUCUUCUCCCUCCCCCAUUUCUCACUCACAAAUGUCCACAGGUUUCUGUGUGCAAGCUUAAUGUAUUAAAUUAUUUCUUGGAUUAAGUUCUCAUCAUCAUUGAUCAGAAGAAUAAUACCUGAGCAUUUAUGAAUACUUCAUUGCAAUGUUUGUGUGAAAUUGCUGAUAUAUUCUGUUCUAGAGUUGAAUGUGUAUUGGACAAGUAUAUCAACAUAUUCAAUUUAACAGGCCCUUUUGGUGGUUUGCAAUU